RNAcentral lists this long non-coding RNA (3403 nucleotides) under Nicotiana tabacum (common tobacco). RNAcentral describes it as "long non-coding RNA (NTAB_LNC000379)". The record is from RNAcentral. Lineage: Eukaryota; Viridiplantae; Streptophyta; Magnoliopsida; Solanales; Solanaceae.
UUUGGUGCUUCAAUCACAAAGGACAAAAGAGAAGUAUUUUUUUUCAGUAAAAGAUCAACCACUAUUAUCAUUAUUUGGUAAUGUUUUCCUUAUCCCCUUUCUCUUGUAAGUUAAUUUUUGCACCAAGAUCUAUUUCUAUUUAAUUACUGUGUCUACUGCCCGAAUUUGCUUCACUUAGAUACUAACGUAAACUUGCGAGUAAUAGUAGCUAUUUUAAUGAUACAUAUUUUAUCGUUCCCACCCGAUGUUUAUAUCAACGCAAAGAACAUCUAAUAUGUUUCUUUACAUAAUCUGUUAGCGCUUACUUAUAUUCGAUCAAAAUGAAUUUUUAGAUGGAAAGUAGACAAAUGCAUAUUAAUUUUGCUAAUUCUUUUGCCGAUCUUAUUUUAUUUGAUUUUUGUGAUAAAUGACAAAUGGUGUUGAUUUUGUGACAGACAAAUAGUGUUGAUUUGUGACAAAGUUUAACAUUGGAAGCACAAGGUAGACUGGUGGUAGUGAUGGUGGCUCUAUCCCUACUUCUUCCAUUGAGGUUUGUCAUUUGGGUAAUUUCAUAAUAAAUGAUAUUUCUGUAUUUUCUACUUUUCUUGAAUUUAUUGGUUGAUACUUUUUGGUAGGAUUGUAUAAGGAUCAUGUUUUAUUUAGGAUACCCAUUAGAAAUAAGCCUUCUGGAGUGUUUUACCUUUCUGAGCAGCUUAAUUUUGAUAAUAAUGAUUGAAAAACCUGAAACUUUACUUUAAGUGCAGUAAAUUGGUUGAUAUGUCGUUUGUAUAUACAAAUUUUGGAGCCAAAUGAAGAUACAUUAUGUACUACUCAAAUGGAAAUACAUUCUCCGCUUAUUUAUCAUCAUUUAAAAUCUUUCAAGGAUCUAUUUAUCUUUCUUCUUAAUUAUUUUGCCUUUGUUCUAUUUUCUAGAUAUAUUAAUUUAUUAUUUAAAAGAAAAAAACUAAUUUGAUAUAUGUCUUCUGUAUACGUGUCCAAUUUAAUAAGUAACCUCUACAUGUGAUCCUUCCUCCAUUUAAACUCAUUAUUUCAUAACUUAAUUACUUCCAUAUUUAUCCGUUUUGAUUGCUCAUUAUUUUGAUUCGCUUCUAAUGUGUUCCUUUAUUGUUCAAGUCUACUGCUUGACUUUUGAGAUUUUGGUUCUCAUAUCCGCGCUUCAAAAGAUUUAUUUUUUGGAUUGACAUUGCUGCAUUCAUUGAUAUGGAUUUAGAAGUUUCACUUUUUUUAUCACUUUUCAACAUGAUCAAAGGGCCAUGAGCCCAUGAGAGUCUCGUAAGGUUUAAUUGAUACAACCUUUUAUUUUCCUUAUUGGUUGGUAUGUAUAUAUUUUGCUGCUUCCUGUAUUUCUUUGUUAGUUUACACCAGCCAAUCAUUACAAAUUUGUGAAUGGAUAUUUUCUAAGAUCUCUACACAGAGUUUUUUGCUCUUUAGUUAUCCUAAUUAUGAGUUUAUGUUUUGAUGUUAAACAAUAAUUUAGAUUUCAUCUUUGGUAUGACUUUGCGUUUAUCUGAUUUUCUUUUUGGUUGUUUAUUUUUUGUAUUUAUAGUUUAAGUUGCGUAACUGUGUAGGAAUGUGUGUUUUAUGCACAUUAGAAUUGGAUAUAUUCAUCAUUAUGCUAUUCAAAUUUGGACCAAAUUUUUGCACUUCAAUUGGUGUUUUAUCUCAUGUGUCUCUGUAUUAAAUUUCUUCUUUUUCACUUUUUAUAUCAGGUUUUGAGAGAGUAUGAGUCGCUAGGGGUACUCCGGUGAAAUGUUUUACUCUUUAUCAUUUUUCAUUCCAUUUGGAUUUCACAGUGUUCGUCUUCAAAUUAGAUAUUUGGUUUUGGCAAGGUAUGAGUUUAAGCAUAUGGAUUUGGGUGAAACUUUUAUAUCUUCUUCUUCUUCUUCUUCUUCCUCCUAACCAUUUGGAUGUCACAAUAUUUUUUUGAGAGUGAUUUGUAAGAGACAAAGAUUGAAAAAAGGAAAACUGAGAUAAUUAUGUUACGUUGUAUGAUUGUUGAAAAGAUAGAAAGUACAAUCAAUAAGAAUUAUCACUCUCUUCACCUUUCCUUCUUAAGGUAAUAAUCUAAAUAAUGACUAACUAUAAAAAAAAAAAAUUGGAUAAAGAAAGGACAAAUGAAAGAAAGAUAUGAAGUGGCGGGGAGGGGAGAGGGGGUGGGUGCAAAAGGAUCCAAAUAAGGUUUCAAAGACAAUAGAUUGGAUACUUAAAGUGGAAAAAUACGUAGGUUUCUUAUGAUGUUUAGCAGUAGUACAUAAGCCUUGAUAGGAACGUAGCAAAACACAUUUUUCAGUCUAUUUCUCAAAACAUUUCACUAACAUCAAAUAACCAAUAAUUUAUUUAUUAUAUCUUUUGGAUUUGCAUUGUAUAUGGUUUUAUUCUCAUCUCGGUGUAUGUUUCCUCCCUUGGUAUUUCGAGCUUAUUUUGACAGUAGCGAGGACGGUGUUGAUAUCUCUAUUUUUAGCCUAUCAAUUUAAUAGCAUGUAAGCUUUUUUUCUAAUCAUAGAUAUCAUGGGUUGCAUGUUAGUUUCCUCGAACAUACUUUUAGAUCUCUGUCACUUAUAUAGCUCUCUACUUUGUUCGCAGCGAGUGAAAAAAAUUAUUAGUAGCUCCAUUUCAUGUUUAAGGUCUAGAAAUUCAAAUGAUCAUUUCAUUGGUGCCUCGUCUAAUGGGUUGGAGUUCAGACUUAUAUUGCUUCCAUGCUAAAAGUGAGAGUUGAAUCCAAAGGUUUAAAGGAUUUCAAGGGAUCAAAAAGCUCGAGUACCUUAUAGCUCCAUGAUUCCUUGCUCUUUUCUUUUUGUUCAAUAUUGUACAAUACUUGAUAAUUAAUAUUAUUCAAGUAUAAAAGGUAAACCUUUAAUAUUCUGACAAGAUAUUCCCUAAAUUAGAUGUGCUGAUCGAGAACUCUUCAUGUUACCUUCUCCAUGUUUUAUUAAUCUUGAAGUUGAAUGUUCUGCACUGAGUAUUAAAGUAGAGAGGAUCUCUUGAUUUUUUGCUCGAUAUUUCGUAACAUAGAGCAUAUUUAUAUUGCAGUCUUACUUGGAUGAUGUUACUGCAACUUAGUAACGAAAUAAGUACUCUUUUUAUGCAGGGCAACAACUGAACAUUCAAAUAAUUACCCUCAAAGCAAUAACAAACUGUGAGACACUCGAGAAAUGGGAAAUAGUCGUGUAGUAAAUAUUACAAAGACCAUAAACAGCUUACAAAAAGUCUAACAAGAAAUAAUGAAGUCUUGUAACUUUUGUUGAAAGAAAAUGCAUAUAUUACCAUUGAAACAAACUUAAAUUAUCAAGUUAGUACUAAAGUGAGGAAGAUGUUUCGAGAAAAGCUUAUAAUCAUCACAUAAUCCAAGCAAAUAUGUAUCAUUAUUUUUUUGAUCAGUGAUUGUAUAUUAUUCUUUAGUUAA